UGGGCGGGCCGAGCGCCCUUGCCGCGCCUAAGACGAUUCUGAGGUAGGUUGGGUGGUUUCGGAAGGAGCCCAUUCUCCCUCUGGGAGGUGACGGAAGCACAAGUAGGUGGCUCGGGUGAGAGUCGACCCCUUUACCCAGCGGAUUUAGUGAGGAUAAAGACCAUAUUGGGUCUUGUUCUUCGUGAUACAACGCCGUAAUUGCCUCGGCUUUUAGCCAGUGCCCUGUCUCAUUGUACCCUUUCGCUUUUCUGAUUUCGUCCCUUUGGGGAGUCUCGCCUUCUCGGUAGACCUGUUGUCCUUCUGUGGUUUUUAUUUCCUGUCUUAGUGUCUCCAGCUCUACUCCCUCAGGUCAAUGGAAUCUGACCGUGAGAAGUUUCUUCAUUAUUCAGACACCAGCUGGAGCCAGAAGGACAUCUACGAAGAACAGUAACCAGGAAGAGAAUUCUACCUGUUCAUUAUAUUCCGAUAUGGACGUUUUCUUUUUGGCUAUUAAAAAAAAAAGGAAACGAAAUUAUCAAGUGGAAAGAAAGGAAAUUACCCCCAGUCAACUCUUUAUGCCUUUUUAUUAUAACGAGAUAUAGUCCUGGAGGCAGGCUUGAAAUGGGUAUGCAGAGCACCAUCAACCCAGAAGUACAUGGGGAUCUUUACUUAAGUUGUGGCUAUCUGUAAUCUCAUCCAUUUCUUUUUGCUGUAGUGUCAAGUUUUGUCAUGAAGUUGGAACUGAGGCGGGAAGCUAAGAAGCUUCAGAAGAAGUUAGAAAUGGUUAUGGAUUUUCGGUUUCACCCUUCUUACCAGAGUAUCUAGAGGGAAUGAUAUGAAUGUCAUAAAUGGCCCAAAGACCUUGGGAAUUAGAGGUCUGAACCAUCCAAAAGAAGCAGGCAUGGAGCAGUUGCUUUCUGUUAGAAAGGGGGUUCAGAGACUGGUUGUGUGAGUUAUGUUGUCUUUUACUUUAAAUUUUGUGUGUGUUGAGGGGAUACAUAGCAUUAUAAGGAGGGAAGAUACAGAAAUCCUAAAUACUGACAGAAACAGCUGGAAGCAGGAGGGGGCUGAGGAAUAGUUUGUGAAACAAAUUCUGCUGAGGAUCAAUCCGGAACUUCCCUGAGGGUUCAGCUUCUGCUGUGUAGGGACUAGGUUGUAAAUAGACAAGCCCCAGGGCAUCUACAGAUGGUUAAGUGUGUUAGAGAGGGGUUGUAGUUGUCUGCUAGUGGAUCUGUGGGAAGCAGGUGCUAUCCUUGAGGAAGAAAAGGUGGAGAAGGAAAGUGGCUAUCAGCCUGUCAGUGACAACAUAUCCUGUGAAGUCUUACUCUUUCAUUUCUGACAGUGUGGUUCUUCUUAUAUCUGUCCUCAACCUGGCAGCCUCAUUGAGGUUCACAAAGCAUCUCCUUCUAUGUGACAGUAAUGUUGAAAUUAUUAUCAGGAUAGAUUCUCUUCUUGCCAGAGUAAAACCAAGAAAAUAAAUCACUUUUUGUUAUCUGCUUAUCAUUUUUUAUAUGCCAUGGGGUUCUAUAUUCGUUAUUAAGUAUAAAGCACAUUGAUAAAUACUCCUUGGUUAAUAUCCUUUAAUAUUCAUGUUUCACAGUUAUCUUUAUUACAUCAUGAUAAAUCUUAUACAAGUAGUAUUUUAAUGAUUUAAAUGCAUAUAUUUUAAUGCAGUGUCACCCAAUCCCUUUUUUAUCCUAUAGAAAAACAGUAUUUUCUAUUCUUUACCUGUCUUAAAGGAAUUUUCCUGUUUCCAUUUCUUAAAAUAGAAGUAUUUGACAAAGAUUCAAAGAAAGGAAAGAGUUAUGAAAGGGGGAAAAAGGUGUGAAUGAUGAAGAUUAAAAAGAAACUCAGUAGUUUUGACAAGGGGGUUGGGAGAAUAAUCAUUGAGAAACGUCUUGGUUGCUUACUAUUAGGACUUAAUUUAAAAAGUUGAAAUGUCCUGACAGAAAUUUUCCCAAAUAUUUAGAAGUGCCAACAGGAAGUUACCUCCUCUCUUAAUACUCACAUUGACCUGGAACUCUUACAACCUUCAAAACAUAUUACUUUUUUCAAAAUUCAGUCCUUAGUUUUUGCAAAAUGUACUGCUUAGUUUCUCCUCUAAGAAACCUUUCACUGUUCUUACUCUCAUUUAAUAAGUGUGAUUAUUACAUGCUUUCUUUUUUUUCUGUCAUUUAUAUUUUUUUUAAAGAGAGAGAGAAUUUUUUAAUAUUUAUUUUUUAGUUUUCGGCGGACACAACAUCUUUGUUUGUAUGUGGUGCUGAGGAUCGAACCUGGGCCACACGCAUGCCAGGAGAGUGCGUUACCGCUUGAGCCUCAUCCCCAGCCCUCCUGUCAUUUAUAUUAUUUUCCAAUAACCACCUAGAGAACUGGGAUCUUGUUUUUGUUCUGUUUUGCCAUUUUCCUCUAUAAGAAAUACCUUAAUGUUGUGGACAAAGAUCAUUUCAGUUAAAUUGCACUUAAAAUUCUUUGUGGACAAGAUGUUAGUUGUCAUAAUACUUUAAAUGAUAAAAAGUAGUUGCAGUCUUACUUAUAACAGUAAGAUUAGUCACAUUCUGUUAUAUAUGCUUAGUGGGAUAUUAUCUGUUUUUAAAAGCCAUUAGACUAGAGUUUCUAAUGGAAAAUGUUUAAAUUUCUAAGUUAAAAGAGCAUUUUAUGGACUAUAUGUUUCCCCCCAAAAUUCAUAUAUUGAAACCCUAAUCCACAAUGACACAACAUAAAUAGAUAGGAACUUUGGAAGGUGAUUUGUCGUGAGGGUGGAGCCCUUAUGAUACAAUUAAUGACUUUAUAAGAAGAGAUACAAGUGAUCAUGUUUUCCCUCUUCUCUCCAUCAUGUGAGGACAAAGUAAGUACACAGCUAUCUGCAGUUCAAGAAUAGGGCCCUGUCCAAAGCCCAUCCAUGCUGUCACUCUAAUCUCUAACUUCCUAGCAUCCAAACUAUUAGAAAUGUAUUCUAUUGUUUGAUCUACCCAGUUUAUGCAGAAUAGUGCUCAGGGUGGGUUUUUGUUUGUUUGUUUAA
RNAcentral lists this long non-coding RNA (2998 nucleotides) under Marmota monax (woodchuck). Lineage: Eukaryota; Metazoa; Chordata; Mammalia; Rodentia; Sciuridae. The record is from RNAcentral.